This 81-nucleotide transfer RNA is filed under the name Phytophthora nicotianae (black shank of tobacco agent). RNAcentral's name for it is "Phytophthora parasitica tRNA-Ser". It matches the Rfam family "tRNA". From Rfam's summary of the family: Transfer RNA (tRNA) molecules are approximately 80 nucleotides in length. Lineage: Eukaryota; Oomycota; Peronosporomycetes; Peronosporales; Peronosporaceae. The record is from RNAcentral.
GACAGCUUGGCCGAGUGGUUAAGGCGAUAGACUAGAAAUCUAUUGGGGUAACCCGCGUGAGUUCAAACCUCACAGCUGUCG